RNAcentral lists this ribosomal RNA (475 nucleotides) under uncultured bacterium. Its description in RNAcentral is "bacterial SSU rRNA". It matches the Rfam family "Bacterial small subunit ribosomal RNA", at positions 25 to 518 of the family's 1533-position model. The record is from RNAcentral.
CAGGACGAACGCUGGCGGCGUGCUCAUACAUAGCAAAGUCGAACGAGAAACUGGCUUCGGUCAGUGGAAAGUGGCGGACGGGUGAGUAAUAUGUAGAGAAUCUGCCCUAGAGAGAGGGACAACAGUUGGAAACGACUGCUAAUACCUCAUAUGCGCGUAGCUGAAAUGCUAUUCGUGAAAAACUCCGGUGCUCUGGGAUGAGUCUGCAUCUGAUUAGCUUGUUGGCGGUGUAAUGGACCACCAAGGCGACGAUCAGUAGCUGGUUUGAGAGGACGAUCAGCCACAAUGGGACUGAGACACGGCCCAUACUCCUACGGGAGGCAGCAGUAGGGAAUUUUGCGCAAUGGGGGAAACCCUUGACGCAGCAACGCCGCGUGAACGAUUAAGCCCUUCGGGGUGUAAAGUUCUGUCAGUGGGGACGAAACUUGACGGUACCCACAGAGGAAGCAUCGGCUAACUCCGUGCCAGCCGCGGC